UACGAAGGGGGCUAGCGUUGCUCGGAAUCACUGGGCGUAAAGCGCACGUAGGCGGAUCUUUAAGUCAGGGGUGAAAUCCCGGAGCUCAACUCCGGAACUGCCUUUGAUACUGGGGAUCUUGAGUCCGGGAGAGGUGAGUGGAACUGCGAGUGUAGAGGUGAAAUUCGUAGAUAUUCGCAAGAACACCAGUGGCGAAGGCGGCUCACUGGCCCGGUACUGACGCUGAGGUGCGAAAGCGUGGGGAGCAAACAGG
Molecule: ribosomal RNA, 253 nt
Filed under: uncultured bacterium
Lineage: Bacteria
Description: partial 16S ribosomal RNA
Rfam family: Bacterial small subunit ribosomal RNA
Source: RNAcentral